RNAcentral lists this ribosomal RNA (253 nucleotides) under uncultured bacterium. Its description in RNAcentral is "partial 16S ribosomal RNA". It matches the Rfam family "Bacterial small subunit ribosomal RNA", at positions 524 to 776 of the family's 1533-position model. The record is from RNAcentral.
UACAGAGGUCUCAAGCGUUGUUCGGAUUCAUUGGGCGUAAAGAGCGUGUAGGCGGCCUGGUAGGUCAGCUGUGAAAACUCGAGGCUCAACCUCGAGACGUCGGUUGAAACCACCUGGCUAGAGUCCGGAAGAGGAGUGUGGAAUUCCCGGUGUAGCGGUGAAAUGCGCAGAUAUCGGGAAGAACACCCGUGGCGAAGGCGGCACUCUGGGACGGUACUGACGCUGAGACGCGAAAGCGUGGGGAGCGAACAGG